AUUGAACGCUGGCGGCAUGCCUUACACAUGCAAGUCGAACGGUAACGGGCCUUCGGGUGCCGACGAGUGGCGAACGGGUGAGUAAUACAUCGGAACGUGCCCGAUCGUGGGGGAUAACGAGGCGAAAGCUUUGCUAAUACCGCAUACGAUCUACGGAUGAAAGCAGGGGACCGCAAGGCCUUGCGCGGACGGAGCGGCCGAUGGCAGAUUAGGUAGUUGGUGGGAUAAAAGCUUACCAAGCCGACGAUCCGUAGCUGGUCUGAGAGGAUGAUCAGCCACACUGGGACUGAGACACGGCCCAGACUCCUACGGGAGGCAGCAGUGGGGAAUUUUGGACAAUGGGCGCAAGCCUGAUCCAGCCAUGCCGCGUGCAGGAUGAAGGCCUUCGGGUUGUAAACUGCUUUUGUACGGAACGAAAAGCCUUCUUUUAAUACAGGAGGGUCAUGACGGUACCGUAAGAAUAAGCACCGGCUAACUACGUG
RNAcentral lists this ribosomal RNA (482 nucleotides) under uncultured bacterium. RNAcentral's name for it is "partial 16S ribosomal RNA". It matches the Rfam family "Bacterial small subunit ribosomal RNA", at positions 30 to 507 of the family's 1533-position model. The record is from RNAcentral.